Molecule: ribosomal RNA, 253 nt
Filed under: uncultured bacterium
Lineage: Bacteria
Description: partial 16S ribosomal RNA
Rfam family: Bacterial small subunit ribosomal RNA
Source: RNAcentral
UACGUAGGGUGCAAGCGUUAAUCGGAAUUACUGGGCGUAAAGCGUGCGCAGGCGGUGAUGUAAGUCAGUUGUGAAAUCCCCGGGCUCAACCUGGGAACUGCAUCUGUGACUGCAUCGCUGGAGUGCGGCAGAGGGGGAUGGAAUUCCGCGUGUAGCAGUGAAAUGCGUAGAUAUGCGGAGGAACACCGAUGGCGAAGGCAAUCCCCUGGGCCUGCACUGACGCUCAUGCACGAAAGCGUGGGGAGCAAACAGG